AUUGAACGCUGGCGGCAGGCUUAACACAUGCAAGUCGAGCGGAGCGAGGGUGCUUGCACCUUAGCUUAGCGGCGGACGGGUGAGUAAUGCUUAGGAAUCUGCCUAUUAGUGGGGGACAACAUUCCGUAAGGAAUGCUAAUACCGCAUACGCCCUGCGGGCGAAAGCAGGGGAACUUCGGACCUUGCGCUAAUACAUGAGCCUAAGUCGGAUUAGCUAGUUGGUGGGGUAAAGGCCUACCAAGGCGACGAUCUGUAGCGGGUCUGAGAGGAUGAUCCGCCACACUGGGACUGAGACACGGCCCAGACUCCUACGGGAGGCAGCAGUGGGGAAUAUCGGACAAUGGGCGGAAGCCUGAUCCAGCCAUGCCGCGUGUGUGAAGAAGGCCUUUUGGUUGUAAAGCACUUUAAGCGAGGAGGAGGCUACUUAGAUUAAUACUCUGGGAUAGUGGACGUUACUCGCAGAAUAAGCACCGGCUAACUCUGUGCCAGCCGCCGCAGUAA
Molecule: ribosomal RNA, 501 nt
Filed under: uncultured bacterium
Lineage: Bacteria
Description: partial 16S ribosomal RNA
Rfam family: Bacterial small subunit ribosomal RNA
Source: RNAcentral